This 254-nucleotide ribosomal RNA is filed under the name uncultured bacterium. RNAcentral's name for it is "partial 16S ribosomal RNA". It matches the Rfam family "Bacterial small subunit ribosomal RNA", at positions 524 to 776 of the family's 1533-position model. The record is from RNAcentral.
UACGUAGGCAGCGAGCGUUGUUCGGAGUUACUGGGCGUAAAGGGUGUGUAGGCGGUUGUUUAAGUUUGGUGUGAAAUCUCCCGGCUCAACUGGGAGGGUGCGCCGAAUACUGAAUGACUUGGAGUGCGGGAGAGGAAAGUGGAAUUCCCGGUGUAGCGGUGAAAUGCGUAAAUAUCGGGAGGAACACCUGUGGCGAAGGCGGCCCCCUGGUUGGAUACUGACGCUGAUACGCGAAAGCGUGGGGAGCAAACAGG